This 936-nucleotide ribosomal RNA is filed under the name uncultured bacterium. RNAcentral's name for it is "bacterial SSU rRNA". It matches the Rfam family "Bacterial small subunit ribosomal RNA", at positions 8 to 916 of the family's 1533-position model. The record is from RNAcentral.
AGAGUUUGAUCAUGGCUCAGAACAAACGCUGGCGGCGUGCAUAACACAUGCAAGUCUAACGGGAAAGUCGGCUUCGGCUGGCAAGUACCGUGGCGAACGGGUGAGUAACACGUGGGUAAUCAAACCUCGAGUUUGGGAUAACCUUGCGAAAGCGGGGCUAAUACCGAAUAAGACCACGCCUUGUUAGCAAGGUGCGGUAAAAGGUGGCCUCUUCUUGAAAGCUAUCACUUGAGGAUGAGCCCGCGGCCUAUUAGCUAGUUGGUGGGGUAAUGGCCUACCAAGGCGACGAUGGGUAGCCGGCCUGAGAGGGUGUACGGCCACACUGGCACUGAGAUACGGGCCAGACUCCUACGGGAGGCAGCAGUGGGGAAUAUUGGGCAAUGGGGGAAACCCUGACCCAGCGACGCCGCGUGGAGGAUGACGGCCCUCGGGUUGUAAACUCCUGUCAGGUGGGAAGAAGGACCAUUCGGCUAAUACCCGGAAGGAAUUGACGGUACCACCAAAGGAAGCCCCGGCUAACUCCGUGCCAGCAGCCGCGGUAAUACGGAGGGGGCAAGCGUUAUUCGGAUUUACUGGGCGUAAAGCGCACGUAGGCGGCACUGUAAGUCAAAGGUGAAAGCCCUCGGCUCAACCGAGGAACUGCCUUUGAAACUGCCUUGCUUGAGUCCGGGAGGGGGGAGCGGAAUUCCCAGUGUAGCGGUGAAAUGCGUAGAUACUGGGAGGAACACCGGUGGCGAAGGCGGCUCCCUGGACCGGUACUGACGCUGAGGUGCGAAAGCGUGGGUAGCAAACAGGAUUAGAUACCCUGGUAGUCCACGCCGUAAACGAUGGGCACUAGGUGCAGCGGGUGUCGACCCCUGCUGUGCCGUAGUUAACACAUUAAGUGCCCCGCCUGGGGAGUACGGUCGCAAGGCUGAAACUCAAAGGAAUUGACGG